GCCGCCGCCCCCCUGCCCAUCUCCUCCUCUCUCAAUUCUUGCAGCCACCAAACCCUAGCCGCCCCCCUCAAUCCCCUCCUCCCAAGGUGCCAAUCCUUGCCGCUCGGAUCAUCGUCGUCGUGGUGCGAGUCUUCAAUCGUUUUGGUGGAGGGAAGAAGGGAGGAAGGAAAGGGGGAGAAUCCAAGGUGAUUUUUGUGUUCAUUCCUUGUUCAUUUGCGCUGCAAUUUAAUUGAUUAGAGGUUGCGUUUGCGAUUGGGUAGAGGGGGCUGUCCAGAAUUUUAGGUGGUGGGUGAACAGCAGUAGUCUAGCAGUUUCUAUGUUUUUUCGUGAGGAAUUAAGGGAAAUAAGUUUGGGGAUCAUGUAGAACUUUACCUUACCUUUCCAACGAGUAUUUAUGCGCUCAAUUUGGAGUUAUAAAUUGAAAGUUAUCACCGUUUGAAUCCGGGUAUGUGGCUGUCCAAAAAACAGAUUUUCAGGGGGAUGAACAGCAGCAGUAUUAGCAGUUUCUGGGGAUUUUUCGGGAGUAAUUAGUGUUAAUCAGUAUGAGAAUCAUGUAGGGAUUUAUGUUAUCUUUCCAACAAGUACUUAUGCGCUCGAUUCGGAGUUAUAAUUUAGGAGAUAUCGUUGUUUGAAUCCGGUUAUGUUGCUGUCCAAAAAAACAGAUUUUUCAGGUGGGUGAACAGCAGUGGUAUUAGCAGUUUCUGGGAAUUUUUGGUGGGUAAUUAGUGUUAAUCAGUAUGAUAAUCAUGUAGGGAUUUGUCUUAUCUUUCCAAUGAGUACUUAUGCGCUUGAUUUGGAAUUAUAUUUUAAAAGAUAUCGCUGUUUGAAUCCGGGUAUGUCGCUGUCCAAAAGACAAAGAGAAACAGAUUACAGGGUUCAUCUUGUGGACUGUGUUGGGCUAAUUAGAUAUUGGAAUUUAAUUAUAAAUUGUAUACAAAACUUGUGGGGAAUUUUAUGUAGAUGCCUCUGGAGUUUUUGUUUGUUACUACUGCUGUCAUAAUUUUAAAGUUAUGAAAUUAUUAAGCAGCGCCGCUGCAGUUUGGUGGGUGUAGGGAGAGAUGUAACCCGCGGCGGGGUUUGAGUUUGUGCGUAGUUGCGGCGUCGCUUAUGAGCCUGAUUAUGUGAAAUUGGUGCACUAAAUUGGUUGUUAAAAACAGGUAGUGGACUUCCGGAUCGUACUUAGGGAUUUGCCGAACUUCCGGUAAAGGCAAGUAAAUACAGUGGUGGUUGCUACCGUUUGGUUUGCAUCCUAUUCCCUGUCAUUGAGUAUGCAUAAGUUUUAAUUAUGUUAAUCAUUGAAUUCUAUGAUGAAGUUUAUUUGUUUGGAAGUAUUAAUUCUCAAUUGUCUAAUAUUGUGGAUGAUCAUAAUUUGGUAAUGAUAUAUGUGGUUGAUUCCCAUCUUGGAUGAAGUUGAAGUAUCUUUUUGAAUCAUGUUAUAUGAAGUGUUGUAGGCAUGACAUGCACAUCACAUCAUCCAUCUUGCAUUUUGAAGUUAUGUCGUGAUCUUAUGGUCCGACCGUACCGGUACAUUUUUAGCAUCGUACGUUGCCCGAGGAGGGGUACGAUGCGGCUUCAUAUCCUUAGUGGUAUGAAGGCAGAAGUCAUCCUUGCAUUUGCAGACAUUUGCACUCAUGAGGAAUAUAUGAAGUGUGACAUUACUAUGUUACUAUUGUAGUUUCUACCUGCGAGGUGUGGUAACUAGGUGUGUUGUACGUUGUAUACGUGCUGCACCUUCGUAAUAAGAAGGUUGUGGAAUCAAGUGGUGGUAAAACAAUGUUCUUAUGUGGUUAAACUGUUUGAUAUUAUUUUACUUGCUGAGAUGUGUCAUCUCACUCUUGCAUUACUCAAUGCAGGUACUUGGUACAUGUUGGGAAUGAGGGGAGUAGCAGCACGUCCACUUUUACUCUCAC
Molecule: long non-coding RNA, 1910 nt
Filed under: Zea mays
Lineage: Eukaryota; Viridiplantae; Streptophyta; Magnoliopsida; Poales; Poaceae
Description: long non-coding RNA (ZMAY_LNC001809)
Source: RNAcentral